This 503-nucleotide ribosomal RNA is filed under the name Bacillus subtilis. Its description in RNAcentral is "bacterial SSU rRNA". It matches the Rfam family "Bacterial small subunit ribosomal RNA", at positions 74 to 568 of the family's 1533-position model. The record is from RNAcentral. Lineage: Bacteria; Bacillati; Bacillota; Bacilli; Caryophanales; Bacillaceae.
UGGAGCUUGCUCCUGAUGUUAGCGGCGGACGGGUGAGUACACGUGGGUACCUGCCUGUAAGACUGGGAUAACUCCGGGAAACCGGGGCUAAUACCGGAUGCUUGUUUGAACCGCAUGGUUCAAACAUAAAAGGUGGCUUCGGCUACCACUUACAGAUGGACCCGCGGCGCAUUAGCUAGUUGGUGAGGUAACGGCUCACCAAGGCAACGAUGCGUAGCCGACCUGAGAGGGUGAUCGGCCACACUGGGACUGAGACACGGCCCAGACUCCUACGGGAGGCAGCAGUAGGGAAUCUUCCGCAAUGGACGAAAGUCUGACGGAGCAACGCCGCGUGAGUGAUGAAGGUUUUCGGAUCGUAAAGCUCUGUUGUUAGGGAAGAACAAGUACCGUUCGAAUAGGGCGGUNCCUUGACGGUACCUAACCAGAAAGCCACGGCUAACUACGUGCCAGCAGCCGCGGUAUAACGUAGGUGGCAAGCGUUGUCCCGAUUUUUUUGGGGGGGC